AGGGCUGUCAACAGCUUUGCACUGUUUUAUGGGCUUAUGGCUUAGGGCACUCACUGAUCACAUUUCUGUUUAUCAUCUAGUUAAGUUUCUGGGUGUAUAAGGAAGUAUCAUAAUUAAUUCCUAAUGCCGUUAAGAUCAGAGACAAAAAUCCUUUUGUGUGCUUAUUUGUGGGUUGGGCCCUGCUUACGCUGAUGAAAAUAAACUGAGUGCAGAGGAGCACUUGUUUCUACAUACUCCUGGUUGCUGGGUAUAACUUAAAAAUAUGUGCAUCCUUGAAUGUGAAAUUCAACUAUGCUCAGGUUGCAGUAGGAACUGCAAGUGUCUGAAGCUGGAGGAUAAGAAUUUAUUCACAAAGCUGUGUUGUCCUUUCCUGGCAGCCUUCAUAUUUUCUUCUUAUCUGUGGUACGCUGGCAGUUAGUGAAAAGGAAAGGAACAAAUCAAGACUUGAGCCAUGGACAACCUCUUGAUAUUUUCUAUUCCUCUGAGCCUGGGAAUUUUGCCAAUCCCAUCUCUGGCCCGACUGGAAAGGAAGGAAAAAUAAUAGCAAACCUUUACAGCCGUGUGCUGACAAUGAGGAGCCAGCUAGCCUUAGUCUUGGAGAGAUCUACUGGUGGUGCUUCUACCACCCACCGUGGCAGAUUUAUUUUCCAGUGAAAGGUCUACAGGCUUCUACAAUUCUGCAAAAUGUUCAGCUAUAUCUGUUUCUGAAGCAGAAGAAUAAAUGGUCCUCUUGAAAACAUAGGAUGUGAUUGUAUACAAGAGUAAUAUGUUAUAAUGAACUGAUGAACCAUCUGGGCACAUGACUUGAAAUUUCAGUGAGAAGAGAGAAAAAAAUGCUUUACUAAGUAUUUCAGGACUGAAGCAGACUUUUCAGAAGCAAGGAUUCAGAUCUGUAUUUCUUUAAAGGACAGCUGAACAUCCAUCAUGAAGACAUUCAUCAGGCAUUCCACCACUUUGUAUCCCUGCUUCAGAUGAAAUUAGCCAGCACUGGCUCCUGGCAUGCAUCUAAUCUGGACAUUACCUGCAGAUUGUUGAGCUGCUCACUGAGUUACCAGGUUCAUCUGCUCCUGCUCUCAGACCCUGGCUUGUGCAGCCAGAGAGCAUGUGGGAGUCUGCACAGGCAGGAGCUGUGCUGCAGCAGUUUGAGGUGAGGGAGACUUGAGUGAGAGCAGCAGAUCAGUGCCAGGAUUGUGCCUUAUAUGGCUGCUCGACGCCUGCAGUGCAUCUCUUGGUAUACAGCUUAUGGUAAAAGCCUUCAGGUUCUGUGUUCUUCCACAGCUGUAUAUCAACUGCUGUUUCUUGAGCUUUGCACACUGAGCUGUGCUGAGCGUGGGCCAAAAAGAAGUUGGUUGCUGGGAGUCACAGCUAUUGAACAGCCAGCCCUCAGACAUGCAAAAUGCUGCCAAAAUCCCUCCUGCGUCAGCGACUGCCUGAGGUGGCCAGUGCUAGCCAGGAGGCCUCCUCCAGUGGCUGGCUGCACGUCCCCAUGCAGGUGGCCAGUCUCUGCCAUUCCGGAGCAAGGAGGGCAGAGUGCUCACAAGAUGUGGUUCCCCAUGGAGAUAACAUGUUGCCAAGGUCAGGCUGCAUCUUAUAUCAGGCCCCUUGCAUCAGAUCACUUUGACUGAGAACAUGCUCCUGUUUGCAGGGAGAAAAUGUAAUCUGUAUCUGGACUGUGGUUAACGCUGAGCGCCAGGCUGUGAAUGCUGCCGGUGUACUGUUUGCUUUAAACACCACCUAUUUUUGUCUUCAGGGCUCCUUUUUUAACCUUUCCAGAAAAUGCUGCUGUUGGCCACUAUCCACUACUCUGCUUCUUUGGGGGCUCACCUAUAGUGAAUCACUCUCAGAGAAUGGCCCUGUGUUUAACUGCUGGACGCUGCUUUUCUGCAAGAAAGGAUUUGUAAGCUGCAAGUAUUUGCAGCUCUCCAAACCCACAAAAAUAAUGUUUGUCAGUGCUCUAGAGAUCAAUGUUUAAACCGGUCUAGUGCAAUCAGAAGGAUGUUUUGAUUUAUUAGUAAUGCAUUUUAAAAGCAAACAAAUUAGUUUAUAGAUACUUAUAUAAUUACACUCACACACACACACACAUAUAUAUACAUAUAUGAGAGACAAUUAGAGAUGUAAAUAUGUUAGGCAACUUUGGUAUAAUUAAGUUAUGUCUUUGAAAAAAUUCGUCAUACAGUUGUGAUUGCAUGAGGUUCUCAUUGAAGAUUACUAUAAGCAGACAUUUUUAUAAAUAAUAUUUGAGGCCUCAAAUAAAACUUCUUUGUUUCCUGCCUCAAGCAUCUGCCAAAAUAUUUUUGAUUCUUGGGAGACUUGAAAAGUGGAAAGUUUUCUCCAGCCCUUUGGUUGUACUGCUACCAGACUGUGCAGUUGGAUUUGUUGCUUCUUGGUUCUCAAUCAUAUCUGAACCAUGUGCUUCCUUCUCAUCCAUUCUUGAGCCCUGCUCGUGCCAUGAACAGUGGGUGUUCGUACAUUUUUGUUACUACUGUAAGUUCUGCUAUAAAUUGUCCCUUGAAAAUAUCAGUGCUGUCUCAACAUUGCUUUUAUUGCACAGUAGAGCCUGAGCUGUUUUUGUUUGCAGCCCCCAAGAUCUUUUGAUGCAGAUAGUGCAGUUUCUAGCCUUUCUGUGCUUGUUAAAACAUAAAUAUAUGUGUGUUAUGGGAACAUCUUAAGGAAAAAAAAGGCUGUUGAGUGAUACAUCCAGAAAUGAAGCCACCUAGGGUUAUGUAAUGAGCAUCAAGGCUUGCGUGCUCGUGGCCAGCUACUUGGACUUUGAAGUUGGGGUAACAAAGCAAUGAAAGUAUGCUCAAAUUAGUUGUUAAAUUGUUAAGCUAAAAGGAGAUUAAUUAAAACAUCAUAAAACACUGUUCUUGAAAAGGAAAUGGAGAAGGCACUGACUUCUUGUUUUUACAGCAGAUUUAGUACAGUGAGUUAGUGAUGAAGAGUUAUGACCACAGCAAAUUCCUGGAGGGAAGAGUCUUUAAACAUAACAACAACAAAACAACAGAAACAAGGGAUUUCCGAGUAUGCAUUUUACAGUAGCCUUCAGAGGUUUAUAGUCACGUCUAAAUCAGAUGCUAGCAAAAACUUGCUAAAUAUAAUAUGCGUGAACAUAUAGGCUUGUCUGGAAAUUCUUCAAGAAAAAUGGAUGCUCUGUGGGGUGAAAUGCAUCAUCACUGUGUCUAUUCACUUUUAAUAUUUUUUUUACUUCUGAGGGAAUAUAACGAUGCUUUAGUAAGUGCUCUUCUAAAACACUGUGUGAUAUUCUCUAGCUAGAGGUGGGAUGGGCUGCUGUAACAAGUAGGAAGCAUCUAAAAUCAAGUUAUAAUCAAAAAUGCUUCUUUUGUGUUUGACUUGCUGCUGUCUUCCAUUCUGCAGAAUGAAAGCAAUUUUAUGCAGUAUCUCCACUUCUAAGUUAUUGCAGGGGAGGCUUAGGUAAAUCGCAGUGUAGGACUUACUCUUUAUUAACAGCAAUUUUAAAAGUACUUUGCCCAGUGUGAUAAAUUAUGUGUCUCUGCAGAGGCACUGUGGAGUAGAGUAGAAACAGUGGUAUAAAGCCACUCCAGCAAUUCUGACUUUCUUUUCUGUUUUAUAACAUUUGUGAUAAUUAAUUGCAGACUGUAUAUAAAAUAAUGUAUAAAAGGAUAAGUGAAAUCUCCAUCUAUCCCAAAGCUGAGCUGUAGUUGUAGUUGCACUGCAGGCGCAACUGAUUAUGCUCAAUGCCAAACUGUUUUGAUUCUGUUUGUUGUACCCCCAGAAGGGUGCAAAGAAACAGAAAAUAGGGUGAAGGCAGCUGUUUCAGGCUAUCUGCACACUGCUUAUAAGAGACAAACUUCUGCUCUGCCAGAAAAAAAUCAGCUGCUGGAAUUAUUUUAAUCUCUUGUGCUGAACUUUUACACUUUAUUUUGAAUUUUCCACUGUUGCUGCCUUGAAUAUGGCAUAUAUUUCACAUUUCUUGUCCCUGUUUGCUCUCUCUGCGUGUCCAGCCAACUUAUGCCUAAUUCCAUGUCUCUCUCAGCAGCUUUCAAAGAGAUGGUGAGAAAUGACUUGAUGCAGUUUAGAGGCUGUAAAAAUUUUUUAUUCACUGAUUCUCAUAGAUUGUUCUGAGAGCUCUGGCCAAUGGGUGAUAUGGAAACACCUAGAAUUUAUAGAUUAUUAUUCUUAGCAGAUUUUUGGAAUAUGAAUAUCCUUUUUAAAAUAAACUCACAGCUAUGCACAUAUGCCAUUAGAGUAGAACAGAGCAAGAUAACCUUGCGCUGAGUCUCUGUGUCACCCUGCUCUUACAUGUAAAUUCUCUUGUUAUAAUCAGUUGCUUCUCACAGCCAUCAUGAGGAUUCAUUUUUUGAUGGCAUUCACCAAUAAGUGUUAUUUAUGUGUGAUACCCCAAGAAAAAGUAAUCUCAUCCUUUCUGAAUCUCUUGGCUUUCCUCUGGUGUGAGUUUAGCAAUUGCAAGUGACAUUCGAAGUUUAUAGAACAGUUCUUGGUUUUACAGGAACAAAACGUCAUGGAAACACCACCUCUCGACUCCAUCCCCGGUAGCAAUAGUAAAUAUUUGAUCAGUGUGUACUUUCCAUUCAGCUCAGCAUCUCUGGGCUGACUUUUUGGAGAAGUCUUACAUUUGCAUUAGUAUGAUCACACAGUGACAAAGUGGACCUUCCCAAAGUACUUCAGUGAGCUGCUGUAGAAAAAAAAAUGCAGGGAAGACAUGGAAAGACUUGAAUAAGAUGAAACCAUGAGGUCUUCUUGUCUCUAUAUAUCUUUAAGGUGGAUAACAAAGUGGGGCAAGUCAUCCUUGCUUUGUCUGAUUUUUCCUCUGGAUUUGUACUGGUCUUCUUAGGAAAGUUACAGAAGUACCAUGUUCUGAAUCUUGCUGUUCUUUAUGAUUUAAAAUCAUUCUGUCUUAGGAGUAAUCAAACCUAUGGCUCGUAAGCAAUUUGUUGCUCCCAUAUUGGCAUCUGAGUAGCAAAGGCACCCCAACGGGCGACUGUGAGUUUUGCAGCUCCUCAGCUGUGAAGUGCAGCACAGCAGGAGCCACUGGGCUUGAUUGACAUUGCUCAUUUGCUCUUUAACACAGCUGCCUGCCAAUUUUACCAGGAAACGUCUCUGAAUCUUAACAGCUCUAGUUGCUGUGUGCCUGUGGUAUACUCUGGGAUUUCCUUUGCUAGCUCUUGUUCCUGAAUAAUACAGGUAUGUGCCUUGUGGCCAAAAUCUGUUUGGUUCAUGACCUCUGGUUGGGAAUUCUGGUGCAUCUCGAGGGGCUGUAAGGUUGUAUGCUUGUGCUUUAAAAGCUGUAGAUGGAGGAGAAUGGGAAGGGGGGAAAAAGACUGAAGAGCCUUAAUGCCAAUUCAGCCCUGCUGGGGAAGGGCUUCUUUAGGGAUUCUGCAUAGUAUUCUUGCCAGGGAGCUGAAGGAAACCAAAGUAUAGCUGAGAAUUAAGCUGGUUGCUUUUCACCCCAAAUAUGGACAAAAACUAUACAGGAGCAGCUAUAUAAUGUACUAUUUUCUCAGAGGAAUAGAAAAAGACUUAUUCUUUUAAAUCUGUGCAGAGAAACUGCAUUCCAGAGAAAAAAGCACUGAUAACAAUCCACUAUAAAACCAAGAUUAGAGUCCAGACAAAGAGGACUGGCUUUUGUUCUCUAAAUGAGAAAUUACCCCACACAACCCAUUCAAUAGAGCAUCUGACCAGGUAAUUAGAGUCCAAAUUUCAUUUUUCAAGGUUUUGUCCUGUAUUACUCACUCUUUGUUGUUUAUUGCGCAAAUUCAGGCAUUCAGUGAUAAACUGUUUGCUCUGUGGCCUUGCUGUGGUACAUGGAAAACUUUCCAUGACUGUAUUGCUGAGGAACAGAAAUAGCUAGGCAUGUUCCAGGCAGCUUUUGGAACUCAGUCUGGAUCCUGAUGAAAAGAGGGAUUAUUCAGAGUCUCAUCAAUAUCCCGUACAACUUGUUUGUUUCUCUUGAAAUCUGUUAUGUGGAAGAGUGUGAAGUGCUGGGAAGAGAUUUUAUUUCAUAUCCUCCUGGUAGCUUUUAGAGACAUACGCUGCCAUGCAGUUCAUGAACAAACUUUCUUCCAGGGUUAUGCAGGGGAAUGAAUUUGUUUAUUUUAUUACUACUUAUUAUUAAUUCUUUUACUUCAGUUGCACUGUAUUGGAGGAUAAAGCCAUCAUCUUUAUUUUUUCAAGCAGUAAAAUUAUGACUUUAUAUUAACCCUAUGUUAACAUAUUGGGAAAUGUAGCAUUUAACAAUUUUUCCUUCUGGUGUUUUCUAUAUGCAAAACUCUCUCUCAGUACAUAGUGAGUUCUGGUGCUGAUAAUUCAGGUACAGAGAGUCAAGAGGAAAAAGCUGGCUAUUUUUUUCUGUUUCAACUUGUCUGUUGAAAUCAGAGCUGAAUUAAUUCCCCCUUUUUCUGCCCAAGAUUUCUUAGGUGACCACUUGUGAGCCUCCUGACUGCUUCAUAUUCCUUUUACUUCUUUUAAGAAGACCUUCAAUUCCCCCAUCUCCAUCUUCUUUUUGUUUCCCCGCAACAUAAACAAUAGGACUAAAAGAAGUGGCUACAGCAUGUGGAUAUUGAGGUGUAUCAGAUUUACCUGAGACUGUAUCAGGUUACUCCUUGUUCUCCAGGCACCUACAGUUGGCACUAAAAAACUGGUCUUGUGACUCUUAUCUUCAAGAAAUAGUGCUUUGUGGUUUAUAUGCCAAGUGUUAGAGAGUUCAUUGCUUAACUUUUAUUUCUCCUGAUCAUAACAAAAUUUCUCAGAUAGUGUUUUGCAGCUUAACAGUGUUUAAUAAUCUUUCUGGUUAAGCAGAUUAAUCCUAGUUGGAUUUACUAAUCUGGGGAGGAAAAUCUGCCAAAGAUGCAUAGCAGAGUAUUUCCUAACUUCUUUUGUGUGAAGACUGUGAUUAUUUCUUUUCUCCUCCACAGACACAUCUUGAGUGAGCUCUGAGAAAAUACUAAUCUCUUAAAUGAACUGUAGUUAGCUGAAGGGAUUGAGGGAAACCAAAUCAUUCUGUGGUUGACAAGGGGACAUGGGAUUUUGUAUGGAUGUAAAUCUGCUGCUGGAUUUGGGCUUCCACAUUAACUGGAUGCUAGUUCUACUAAUAGAGUCAUUGUCCCUAUUAGCAGUUUCAAUUAGUGGUUUCGUUGUAGAAGACAAUAUUUAGACAACUGAUGCUAGACAGACUAAACUUCCUUUUCCACUGAAGUACUUGUAGGAAGUGGUACUUCUGAAGUGUGUGCCCUUUUGUUCAAGUUUAUCCAUCUUCUGGAAGACCUGGAGGCUUGAGGCCCUAGGUCUAUCCAAACCACUUCAGCAUCGUUCUUCUACCACUAUUCUUGUCAGUAAACUAGUAGAGCUGCAAGGAUGUUGAAAUCCAUUGGUCAAACAGCAAAAGCUUGAAUGUAAGAUUUCUUGAUAAAGGUUCUCUUCCACGCACCUGUUUGCGUGGUAUUGUUGUUUGCCUUAAUGAUAAAAUCUUUUAAACACAGUAUAUAUUUUAGAAGAUCCUCUCCUCAUGUAUCCUGGAUCUCUUGCUUGAUCUUAAGUUCAUAAAUCGUGCUCUGCCACAAGCUGUUACCACCUGUGUCACAUCUCCUUCCUGAUCCAUGCUUUCCUGUCAUCAAAAUUGUAACAUUUUGGUAUUUCAUGUACUUCCAUAGCUUGUAAAGAAUCCAUGGCAUGGCAGCAUGGCAAAGUAACCCUGCCUCCAGGGUAGACAGUACUGUGCCACAGCUUUUCGUACUUUUUCCAUGCGCAGCACCAUCGCAGCUAGAGUUUUCAUGAGAAACCUUAUCUAGAUUAACAUCAAAUCCUAUUCACAAUGAACCACAGAAAGCAGAACCCUAAGCUAAAUACACUUAGGAAGAAAAAUACUUCAGCGCUUCACAGCUUUUUGAAUUGGAAACUUGGAGAUCUUGUUAUGAUGGAUUCAAGAUUUCCAGCUGUGACACCGUGACCUGCUGUUUCAUUUCGGUGAUAUCACUUCAUAGGAUAUAAGCAACUUAAAGUUUCCCAGGACAUCAUAAUGCUGUUGAAUAAACAAAUAAACUAGGUCUUACAUUGCAACUCUGGACUCAGAUCGGUUAAAACAGAUCAGUUAAAAUGCUUCUGAAUGUGUACAUCUCCUGGCGUGCUCAGGUUCUGUGAGCCACUCAGUUUGGUAUGGGAAAACAUCAGGACACUUCUGAGGUACCUUCCUCCUAAUUCAUACUAGAAGACUGAAGAAGGCCCCAUGUGAUUGUUCAAAUGUAAUAGUGAAGUUUAAGGCAGAUUUGGGGAAACUGGGGAAAGAUGUGUUGGGGGAU
This is a long non-coding RNA of Gallus gallus (chicken), 8294 nucleotides long. Lineage: Eukaryota; Metazoa; Chordata; Aves; Galliformes; Phasianidae. The record is from Ensembl.